Molecule: long non-coding RNA, 208 nt
Filed under: Spirodela polyrhiza (greater duckweed)
Lineage: Eukaryota; Viridiplantae; Streptophyta; Magnoliopsida; Alismatales; Araceae
Description: long non-coding RNA (SPOL_LNC001151)
Source: RNAcentral
UGACCUUGUAAUGUUACGUUAACUUGACCCAGAUGAGCCCAUUUUAGUGGGACGCCUCUUAAUAUAAGCCCACACCUCCGUUCAAAACCCUAGUCUGGUGCAUCGACGUCAUCUUGUUCCUCGUGGGCAGAUAUCUCUCUGACAGAUGAUGGGGAUUCAAUGGGCUUUUUCUCGACAGACAUGGCUGUCUGAGAGGGCCCACACCGAG